CUGAGAAGUGGCUGGAUGGCAGCAGCACCCCAGGAUGGGCCGUGGCAUGGGGACAGAGCACCCAGCUAAGCUGUCCCUGUGUCCCACGUUGUGCUGGCUGUCACUGGGGCCGCUUAUCCAACGUCCUGCAGUACGUGUGGUGCUAUACCACUGCUCCUGCUGCAGCAGCCACAUCCUGGUGGUGUUGAGUCGUGCUCUGGGUAAAAAAGUUGGGGGGCUGGGGAUAGCUUUUCCUCCUCUGGCUAUCCAUCCAUCCCCUGUGUUCCCAGGUGCAGCAGGAGCUGCAGACUGAGAUGACGGGGUGACGCUAUGGGUGCUGCCUGGUGGCAGUGCCCCCCCCCCUGCCGUUGGAGGGGGCAUGGCUGGCAUUGCUGAGUGACACCCUAUCUGCCAGGCCCCGGCCAGCCGCGGGCCCAGAAUAGCAGCGCUGCCCUGCAGUCAGCAUGGAGCAACUCUCCGGCCCUGCCGCUCCCCAGAUGGUGCUGCUGGAUGCUGCUGCCCGCCCCAUGGAGGAAGGUGUGCCCACAGGGUUCCCAGAGGCACUACAUCCCAGGGGAAAUGAGGAGGAGGAGAAGGAAAAGCAGAAGGGCUCUGGGCCCAUCACUUUCACGCUGGGCAAUGAGAUCCUGGGGCUGGAACCUGACAACAAUUUCCAGAGCCCUGACGCUGAGGUCUACAUGCACUUCAUGAGGAGUCACUGCUGCUAUGACGCUGUUCCCACCAGCUGCAAGCUUGUUGUCUUUGACACCACGCUGGAGAUCAAGAAAGCUUUUGUGGCACUGGUGGCCAACGGGGUGCGGGCAGCCCCACUGUGGGACAGCAAGAUGCAGGCCUUUGUGGGUGAGUUCCUGGGCAGCCAGGGCAACAGAGGGACCGCUAUGGGAUGUGGGCAGAGUGGGCAGCCCCAUGUCUCUGCAGGGAUGCUCACCAUCACUGACUUCAUCAACAUCCUGCACCGCUACUAUCGCUCGCCCCUGGUCCAGAUCUACGAGGUGGAGGAGCACAAGAUUGAGACGUGGAGAGAGGUGUACUUGCAGGGCUCCUUCAAGCCGCUUGUCUACAUCUCCCCAAGCGAUAGCCUCUUCGAUGCCGUCUACUCCUUGAUCAAGCACAAGAUCCAUCGCCUGCCAGUCAUUGAGCCCAUCUCAGGCAACGUCCUGCACAUCCUCACCCACAAGCGCAUCCUCAAGUUUCUCCACAUCUUCGGCUCCACCAUCCCCAAGCCGCGCUUCCUAAAGAAAACAGUGCAGGAGCUGUGUGUCGGCACCUUCCGUGACGUGGCUGUCAUACCUGAGAAUGCUCCUGUGUAUGCUGCUCUGGAAAUAUUUGUGGACCGCCGUGUCUCUGCGCUGCCCGUUGUUAAUGCUGCAGGUCAAGUGGUUGGGCUCUACUCCAGGUUUGAUGUCAUUCACCUGGCAGCACAGAAGACCUACAACAACCUGGACAUCAGCGUGCGGGAGGCGCUGCGGCAGCGCACUGUGUGCCUGGAGGGCGUCCUCACCUGCUACCCCCACGAAACCAUGGAGGACAUCAUCGACCGCAUCACCGAGGAGCAGGUCCAUCGCCUGGUUCUGGUGGACGAGAACCGGUACCCGCGGGGCAUCGUCUCCCUCUCUGACAUUCUCCAGGCCCUGGUGCUCACUCCCGCAGGUAUCGAUGCUCUUAACUCUUAGCCCACGACGCUCCAUCUUUCUCCAUUCGCACCCUCCAUUUCUCUCCACUUCAGGCAUUGAUCGACACUCGCUCUGAGGACACCAGGGAAGUGCCACAGGCUCAUCCAACGCGGGGCCUCUUGCUCGGGUACCGCAGGGCCGUGGAAGGAGGCUGGGGGCCCAGGGGCUCUCCAUGGGGUGGGGCUGCCCACCUACCCUGGCCCUGGGAUUCACUCUGAGCCUGGGGCCAACUCCUGCCAACCUUGGGAGGAACAGAGCGGGGGAAAAAGGGUCCAAGCGUGCCUCCAGACUGCGAGCACACAGGGAUGCUCAGUAGGCACCGUGCCACCAGGAGCUGUGCAGCUGGACACAGGAACACCUGCAUGGCCCUGGGGGACCUUCAACAUCCCCCCCUCCCAGCGACUGCUGUCCCCUCCUGCUGUGAGACCCCAGUGCUUCAGGUCCCACUGGUUGUGCCGGGUGCCUGGGAGGAGCGCAUGGCUCAGCUGCACGCACAGGCUUGUUUUUUGUAGGGUCUCCAGGGCUGAGCGCUCUGGUAGAGGUGCUCACAGGGGGACCCUGUACACUGAUAGGGGGAUGGGGGGUAAUUUAUUUAUUUGCCAGUCUCUUCAGCCUUGCUGGAAUAAAGCAGCCUACCCUA
Molecule: RNA transcript, 2313 nt
Organism: Lagopus leucura (white-tailed ptarmigan)
Lineage: Eukaryota; Metazoa; Chordata; Aves; Galliformes; Phasianidae
Gene: PRKAG3
Gene name: protein kinase AMP-activated non-catalytic subunit gamma 3
Exons: 12
Source: RefSeq, a predicted model, not a curated record